This 451-nucleotide ribosomal RNA is filed under the name uncultured bacterium. RNAcentral describes it as "partial 16S ribosomal RNA". It matches the Rfam family "Bacterial small subunit ribosomal RNA", at positions 55 to 523 of the family's 1533-position model. The record is from RNAcentral.
AUGCAAGUCGAGCGGCAGCACGGACUUCGGUCUGGUGGCGAGUGGCGAACGGGUGAGUAACGCGUGGGUAACCUGCCUCAUACAGGGGAAUAGCAGCUGGAAACGGCUGAUAAAACCGCAUAAGCGCACAGUGCCGCAUGGCACAGUGUGAAAAACUCCGGUGGUAUGAGAUGGACCCGCGUCUGAUUAGCUAGUUGGUGGGGUAACGGCCUACCAAGGCGACGAUCCGUAGCUGAUCUUAGAGGAUGAUCAGCCACACUGGGACUGAGACACGGCCCAGACUCCUACGGGAGGCAGCAGUGGGGAAUCUUGGACAAUGGGCGCAAGCCUGAUCCAGCCAUGCCGCGUGAGUGAAGAAGGUCUUCGGAUUGUAAAGCUCUUUUGCCAGGGACGAUAAUGACGGUACCUGGAGAAUAAGCCCCGGCAAACUUCGUGCCAGCAGCCGCCGCAG